GACGAACGCUGGCGGUAUGCUUAACACAUGCAAGUCGAACGAGAAGUCUUUUAUUGACCCUUCGGGGGAUAUAAGAGACAGACAGUGGCGAACGGGUGAGUAACGCGUGGGCAACCUACCUAUCGGAGCGGGAUAGCCUCGAGAAAUCGGGAGUAAAACCGCAUAACACGGAUAUAUCGCAUGAUGAAUCCGUCAAAACUCCGGUGCCGAUAGAUGGGCCCGCGUCUGAUUAGCUAGUUGGUAAGGUAAGGGCUUACCAAGGCAACGAUCAGUAGCCGGUCUGAGAGGGCGAACGGCCACACUGGAACUGAGACACGGUCCAGACUCCUACGGGAGGCAGCAGUGGGGAAUAUUGCGCAAUGGGGGCAACCCUGACGCAGCAAUACCGCGUGAGUGAAGAAGGUUUUCGGAUCGUAAAGCUCUGUUAUUGGGGAAAGAAAGCA
RNAcentral lists this ribosomal RNA (443 nucleotides) under Pseudoramibacter alactolyticus. Its description in RNAcentral is "bacterial SSU rRNA". It matches the Rfam family "Bacterial small subunit ribosomal RNA", at positions 28 to 454 of the family's 1533-position model. Lineage: Bacteria; Bacillati; Bacillota; Clostridia; Eubacteriales; Eubacteriaceae. The record is from RNAcentral.